UCUUCGUGCAGAGCUCCCAAAGGCAGGCACCAACGGCAGCCGAAUGGAAGGAGACGGGAAAGAUAGCUCAAAGAUGACAGAGAUGAAGAAGGGAUUGGUAUCACUCACGGCUUCCCUCGAGGAAGGUUUGCAGGACGCCAAAGCCUCCGUCACAGGACUGGUGAAGAAAGCCACGGCCAAAAGUGAGCAGGAAGCGAGUGAAGCGGACCUUCAAACUGCUAAAAUGCAGGUGGAAGCAGCUGAUGCAGCCGAGAACAAGAAGAAACAGCUCCAGAUAAUAUAGAAACCUGCAUUUUAAUGCACAACUGUUACCUAUCUUGUUUUCUACAAUAAACAUCUAAUCAAAUAUAUGUGUAGCUAA
Molecule: RNA transcript, 361 nt
Organism: Musa acuminata AAA Group (dessert banana)
Lineage: Eukaryota; Viridiplantae; Streptophyta; Magnoliopsida; Zingiberales; Musaceae
Exons: 2
Source: RefSeq, a predicted model, not a curated record